RNA transcript from Pseudopipra pipra, 1465 nucleotides. It is a transcript of the gene named RNA binding protein, mRNA processing factor 2, with no coding region annotated. Lineage: Eukaryota; Metazoa; Chordata; Aves; Passeriformes; Pipridae. The record is from RefSeq and is a predicted model, not a curated record. The transcript is spliced from 9 exons.
CGGGAGCGGCGGGAGCGGCGGCGGGGGCUGGGGCGCGUCGGCCCCGCAGCUGCGGCUCGUUGCGCUCCGCUCGGCCCCGCUCCGCCCGGCCCGGUCCAGCCCAGCCCGGCCCGGCCGUUAACAGCGGCGCCGUCCCGGGACGCCGCAUGUGAACCGGGAGGGCAGCGCCGCACCGCCCCGCACCGCCCCCGCGCACCGGCACCUCACCGGCACCCCGGCUCGGCCCUGCGGAGCUCCGGAGCAGCCGGCACCACCCCCUGCCCCGGCACCCCACCAUGAGCAACCUCAACAAGGACACCGAGCACACCAACAGCGGCGGCAACGUCGAGGAGGAGGUACGGACGCUGUUUGUCAGUGGCCUUCCUGUGGAUAUCAAGCCCAGAGAGCUUUACCUACUCUUCCGACCAUUCAAGGGUUAUGAAGGGUCACUGAUCAAGCUGACUUCAAAGCAGCCAGUUGGUUUUGUGACCUUUGACAGCCGGGCUGGUGCUGAAGCAGCGAAGAACGCCUUGAAUGGCAUCCGCUUCGACCCUGAGAACCCCCAGACCUUGCGGUUAGAGUUCGCUAAAGCCAACACAAAGAUGGCCAAGAGCAAGCUGAUGGCCACACCGAACCCCACCAAUAUCCACCCUGCCUUGGGUGCACACUUCAUUGCACGGGACCCCUAUGACCUGACUGGAGCGGCUCUGAUCCCAGCGUCCCCUGAGGCGUGGGCUCCCUACCCCCUGUACACCACGGAGCUCACCCCUGCCAUCCCCCACGCCGCCUUCACGUACCCGGCGGCCGCUGCUGCGGCUGCUGCUCUUCACGCUCAGUGAACUCCAGCCAUGAUGCCAGCGCAGGCUAGCCCUGAAGCUCAGAGCUGUCCCUGGACAUGGGACGCCCUAGUGAUGCCUUAUUGCAGCUAGUGGAGUGGCUGUACCACAGCUCCAUUCCUAGAAGUGUUAAGCAUGAUGGCAGCCACAUCUGGAAAGACUGAUGCGCUGGUAUCCUCCCUCUGAAGCUACCCAGCAAGGAUGGAAGUCUCGUCAGUUUUGUUAGUUCGUUAUGUCUCUCCUCGACUCGUGUUCCUCCCCCCUGCCUCUCCGCGGAGGGACGUGCCAGGGACGAUCGCUCCGACUCCUCUCGGUUUGGUUUGCGGCCAGCGGACAAGGCGCCCGGCCCCGCCGCCCUCCCCCCGGACUGUGGGGUACCCCCUUCCCCGGACUGUGAAGCCGCCGCGGCCCCAGCCGUGGGGCUGUGCGCCGCCUCCAUCCCCCUCUCCCUCCAUCCUUCCCCCGUCCAUCCCCAGGACAUCCUCCCUGACCGAGCUUCGCCGGCCGGCUGCGCCGAAACCCAGCCGGGGGGGCUCGGUCCUGGGCUUCCCCGGGCUCGCCCUGCCCUGGGGGGCGGCUCGGCUGAAGGAAUCGAAAGGCAAAAUGGGUUUUGCAUGUUUUCUGGCAUGAAUUAAAACACUUAACUUGUG